GAUGAACGCUGGCGGCGUGCCUAAUACAUGCAAGUCGAGCGAACAGACGAGGAGCUUGCUCCUCUGACGUUAGCGGCGGACGGGUGAGUAACACGUGGAUAACCUACCUAUAAGACUGGGAUAACUUCGGGAAACCGGAGCUAAUACCGGAUAAUAUAUUGAACCGCAUGGUUCAAUAGUGAAAGACGGUUUUGCUGUCACUUAUAGAUGGAUCCGCGCCGCAUUAGCUAGUUGGUAAGGUAACGGCUUACCAAGGCAACGAUGCGUAGCCGACCUGAGAGGGUGAUCGGCCACCCGGGACCGGAGCAACGGCCCAGCUCCUACGGGGAGGCAGCGGAAGGAAAUCUCCGGCAAGGGGCGAAACCUUGAGGGAGAAACGCGGGGGAGGUGAUGAAGUGUUUCGAUUCGUAAACCCCUGUUAUUAGGGAAGAAAAAAGGUGUAAGUACCAAUGCAGGUUUUGAGGGUACUAAAUAAGAAAGCACGGCUAACUACGUG
RNAcentral lists this ribosomal RNA (496 nucleotides) under uncultured bacterium. RNAcentral's name for it is "partial 16S ribosomal RNA". It matches the Rfam family "Bacterial small subunit ribosomal RNA", at positions 28 to 507 of the family's 1533-position model. The record is from RNAcentral.